AGCAGCCGCGGUAAUUCCAGCUCCAAUAGCGUAUAUUAAAGUUGUUGCAGUUAAAAAGCUCGUAGUUGAAUUUCGGGGUCAGUAGGUUGGUCAUGCCACUGGUAUGUACUGGUCUCACUGAUUCCUCCUUCCUGAUGAGCCGUAAUGCCAUUAAUUUGGUGUUGCGAGGAAUCUGGACUGUUACUUUGAAAAAAUUAGAGUGUUUAAAGCAAGCUAACGCUUGAAUACAUUAGCAUGGAAUAAUGAAAUAGGACGUUCGAUCCUAUUUUGUUGGUUUCUAGGAUUGACGUAAUGAUUAAUAGGGAUAGUUGGGGGCAUUAGUAUUCAAUUGUCGGAGGUGAAAUUCUUGGAUUUAUUGAAGACUAACUACUGCGAAAGCAUUUGCCAAGGAUGUUUUCAUUAAUCAAGAACGAAAGUUAGGGGAUCGAAGACGAUCAGAUACCGUCGUAGUCUUAACCAUAAACUAUGCCGACUAGGGAUCGGAUGAUGUUAAUUUUUUAAUGACUCA
RNAcentral lists this ribosomal RNA (508 nucleotides) under uncultured Glomeraceae. RNAcentral describes it as "SSU rRNA". It matches the Rfam family "Eukaryotic small subunit ribosomal RNA", at positions 569 to 1078 of the family's 1831-position model. Lineage: Eukaryota; Fungi; Glomeromycota; Glomeromycetes; Glomerales; Glomeraceae. The record is from RNAcentral.